This 253-nucleotide ribosomal RNA is filed under the name uncultured bacterium. Its description in RNAcentral is "partial 16S ribosomal RNA". It matches the Rfam family "Bacterial small subunit ribosomal RNA", at positions 524 to 776 of the family's 1533-position model. The record is from RNAcentral.
CACGUAGGGACCAAGCGUUGUCCGGAUUCAUUGGGCGUAAAGAGCGUGUAGGCGGCCAGGUAGGUCGGUUGUGAAAACUGGAGGCUCAACCUUCAGAGGUCGACCGAAACCAUCUGGCUAGAGUCCGGGAGAGAAGAGUGGAAUUCCACGUGUAGCGGUGAAAUGCGUAGAGAUGUGGAGGAACACCAGUGGCGAAGGCGACUCUUUGGCCUGUAACUGACACUGAGGCGCGAAAGCGUGGGGAGCAAACAGG